CGUUGGUCCAUUUAGCUUCACUCUUUCUCUUUAAAAGCAAUGGACUGAGGACUGCCAGGCAAAACACUUGGCUUGGCUCCUCCACCUUCACAUGACAGACUGGACUAUCUGCAACAUUAAAUCCAACACCUGUCCAGUCAUUUGGACUAUUUAAACGACUGUCACAGUGGUGUUCAGUGAGCUGGAUUGACCCACAUCUCCCAAGUGUUUCUCCACACCAUCAAAGCUGUUCUGCUCGGUUCAAAGCUAACCAAGUACGAUGAAAGUUUUGAUUUCUACCGGACCGCCUGGCUGUAAAGGUCGGCUCCAGGGGUUUGGCGACAGAGAAGCACAGAAGCGAACGAGGCCUUGGCUCUGCCGCUUCGACCGACGCACCCCGCAGCCGCUGCCGUGGUUGGACUACCCACCGACAACAGGACACCCAGGAUAAGAGCGUGCGGUCGGGGCCUUGGACAUCGAGGGCAUGCAGUUGGACAAACUUGGACAAAGGAGGCUGAAAUCCUGACUCUGCAUUUACGAGUGAAAUUAACUGCUAAUCAGAAGCAGUGUUGGCUCACUGUUUCCUGGCAUGU
This 572-nucleotide long non-coding RNA is filed under the name Cottoperca gobio. Its description in RNAcentral is "lncRNA (ENSCGOG00000010847.1)". Lineage: Eukaryota; Metazoa; Chordata; Actinopteri; Perciformes; Bovichtidae. The record is from RNAcentral.